Molecule: ribosomal RNA, 468 nt
Filed under: uncultured bacterium
Lineage: Bacteria
Description: partial 16S ribosomal RNA
Rfam family: Bacterial small subunit ribosomal RNA
Source: RNAcentral
GAUGAACGCUGGCGGCGUGCUUAACACAUGCAAGUCGAACGGAAAGGCCCUGCGCUUGUUGCGUGCACGAGUGGCGAACGGGUGAGUAUCACGCGAGUAUCCCGCCCUUGACUUUGGGAUAACUUCACGAAACUGGGGCUAAUACCGGAUAGGAGCUCCUGCUGCAUGGUGGGGGAUGGAAAGUUUCGGCUGUUGGGGCUGGACUCGCGGCUUAUCCGCUUGUUGGGGUGGUAGUUGCGUACCAGGGGUGUGACGGCUAGCCCGCCUGGGAGGGUGACCGGCGACAAUGGGCCUGCGAGAGGGCCCAGACUGCUACGGUAGGCAACAGUGGGAAAUCUUGCGCAAUGGGCGGAAGCCUGAUGCAGCAGCGUCGCGUGCGGGAUGCCGGGCUUCGGGUUGUGAACCACUUUCGCCUGAGCUGAGGCGUGAGUGACGGUACUGGGUAAAGAAGCAACGGCUAACUACGUG